Non-coding RNA from Pelobates cultripes (western spadefoot toad), 352 nucleotides. NCBI's taxonomy places the organism in Eukaryota, Metazoa, Chordata, Amphibia, Anura, Pelobatidae. The record is from the annotation of a GenBank genome assembly.
AUCUUUAUCUACAGUACGUUUUACUUUAGUAUGUGUGAGCUUGACAAUCUGAUAGGUGCGCUGACAGUCCUGAAGAUAGUCAAACGUAUAGAAAAAAGGCAGUUACAAAAAGGUCUUUUCCAACAUCGAUGUAAACAGAUAAAACAGCUAAGGUAUUUGACUCAAAACUGUUCACUGUAUCCUUUAUAGACAUGUUGCAUCUCUUGCAUAUAACUGGCAUUAACAGGUACUUCUUUGAACAGGAAAAAAGGAAUAAAUCGCCAUUGGAACAGACACUGAAGCUGAACUAUGGCAGAGUAUUUAAAUCGAAAAGUCACUCCCACUAAUAGAAUCCAAUUAAAUCAGCUUAUAC